UACGUAGGGGGCAAGCGCUAUCCGGAUUUACUGGGUGUAAAGGGAGCGUAGGUGGUAUGGCAAGUCAGAUGUGAAAGCCCGGGGCUCAACCCCGGGACUGCAUUUGAAACUGCCAGACUAGAGUGCAGGAGAGGUAAGUGGAAUUCCUAGUGUAGCGGUGAAAUGCGUAGAUAUUAGGAGGAACACCAGUGGCGAAGGCGGCUUACUGGACUGUGACUGACACUGAGGCUCGAAAGCGUGGGGAGCAAACAGG
This 253-nucleotide ribosomal RNA is filed under the name uncultured Clostridiales Family IV bacterium. Its description in RNAcentral is "partial 16S ribosomal RNA". It matches the Rfam family "Bacterial small subunit ribosomal RNA", at positions 524 to 776 of the family's 1533-position model. The record is from RNAcentral. Lineage: Bacteria; Bacillati; Bacillota; Clostridia; Eubacteriales; Eubacteriales Family IV. Incertae Sedis.